Molecule: small nuclear RNA, 22 nt
Filed under: Arabidopsis thaliana (thale cress)
Lineage: Eukaryota; Viridiplantae; Streptophyta; Magnoliopsida; Brassicales; Brassicaceae
Description: snRNA_05102
Source: RNAcentral
AUCAGAGAUAUGUGAAGGACCC